UUCAGCUGUCAGCCCUCGCCUGUCUGUGUGCUGUGCCGCGCUCUCUUGUGGCCCCUGGCCUUUCCCAUCAGUGAAGGCUUGUUUUGACCGCGGCGCAGCAAAGGAAGCCAACCAAAAUGAGUGCCGGUCUGCACCCGGUGAACUAACAGGAAGCUCGCUAUUAACGGCAGUGCUCAUGACGAAGAGGAAAACAAAAACCCCGAACAACAAAUCCUCGGCGGAGAUUCUGACCCACAACAAGACAAGCUGGCACAGGGCUGUGCAGCAGCUACGCCAGGCUUGUUCAUGGCAUUUCUAUGGCUGUUUGGACGAGCGGGAGAGAUUACACAAGCAAAG
This is a long non-coding RNA of Lampris incognitus (smalleye Pacific opah), 336 nucleotides long. RefSeq lists it as uncharacterized. NCBI's taxonomy places the organism in Eukaryota, Metazoa, Chordata, Actinopteri, Lampriformes, Lampridae. The transcript has 3 exons. The record is from RefSeq and is a predicted model, not a curated record.